RNAcentral lists this small RNA (43 nucleotides) under Arabidopsis thaliana (thale cress). RNAcentral describes it as "ATSL145810". The record is from RNAcentral. Lineage: Eukaryota; Viridiplantae; Streptophyta; Magnoliopsida; Brassicales; Brassicaceae.
CAUCAGAGACUCUUUGUUUUAACAACAAGAAGGUUAUUGAAAA